CAUGCAAGUCGAACGAGAGAGAGGGAGCUUGCUUCCUCAAUCGAGUGGCGAACGGGUGAGUAACGCGUGAGGAACCUGCCUCAAAGAGGGGGACAACAGUUGGAAACGACUGCUAAUACCGCAUAAGCCCACGACCCGGCAUCGGGUAGAGGGAAAAGGAGCAAUCCGCUUUGAGAUGGCCUCGCGUCCGAUUAGCUAGUUGGUGAGGUAAUGGCCCACCAAGGCGACGAUCGGUAGCCGGACUGAGAGGUUGAACGGCCACAUUGGGACUGAGACACGGCCCAGACUCCUACGGGAGGCAGCAGUGGGGAAUAUUGCACAAUGGGGGAAACCCUGAUGCAGCGACGCCGCGUGGAGGAAGAAGGUCUUCGGAUUGUAAACUCCUGUUGUUGAGGAAGAUAAUGACGGUACUCAACAAGGAAGUGACGGCUAACUACGUGCCAGCAGCCGCGGUAAAACGUAGGUCACAAGCGUUGUCCGGAAUUACUGGGUGUAAAGGGAGCGCAGGCGGGAAGACAAGUUGGAAGUGAAAUCCAUGGGCUCAACCCAUGAACUGCUUUCAAAACUGUUUUUCUUGAGUAGUGCAGAGGUAGGCGGAAUUCCCGGUGUAGCGGUGGAAUGCGUAGAUAUCGGGAGGAACACCAGUGGCGAAGGCGGCCUACUGGGCACCAACUGACGCUGAGGCUCGAAAGUGUGGGUAGCAAACAGGAUUAGAUACCCUGGUAGUCCACACUGUAAACGAUGAUUACUAGGUGUUGGAGGAUUGACCCCUUCAGUGCCGCAGUUAACACAAUAAGUAAUCCACCUGGGGAGUACGACCGCAAGGUUGAAACUCAAAGGAAUUGACGGGGGCCCGCACAAGCAGUGGAGUAUGUGGUUUAAUUCGACGCA
Molecule: ribosomal RNA, 891 nt
Filed under: uncultured bacterium
Lineage: Bacteria
Description: bacterial SSU rRNA
Rfam family: Bacterial small subunit ribosomal RNA
Source: RNAcentral